AACGAACGCUGGCGGCAGGCUUAACACAUGCAAGUCGAACGCCCCGCCAGGGGAGUGGCAGACGGGUGAGUAACGCGUGGGAACAUACCCUUUUCUACGGAAUAGCUCUGGGAAACUGGAAUUAAUACCGUAUACGCCCUACGGGGGAAAGAUUUAUCGGGGAAGGAUUGGCCCGCGUUGGAUUAGCUAGUCGGUGGGGUAAAGGCCUACCAAGGCGACGAUCCAUAGCUGGUCUGAGAGGAUGAUCAGCCGCAUUGGGACUGAGACACGGCCCAAACUCCUACGGGAGGCAGCAGUGGGGAAUAUUGGACAAUGGGCGCAAGCCUGAUCCAGCCAUGCCGCGUGAGUGAUGAAGGCCUUAGUGUUGUAAAGCUCUUUCACCGAUGAAGAUAAUGACGGUAGUCGGAGAAGAAGCCCCGGCUAACUUCGUG
RNAcentral lists this ribosomal RNA (431 nucleotides) under uncultured bacterium. RNAcentral's name for it is "partial 16S ribosomal RNA". It matches the Rfam family "Bacterial small subunit ribosomal RNA", at positions 29 to 507 of the family's 1533-position model. The record is from RNAcentral.